Molecule: long non-coding RNA, 636 nt
Organism: Ailuropoda melanoleuca (giant panda)
Lineage: Eukaryota; Metazoa; Chordata; Mammalia; Carnivora; Ursidae
Exons: 5
Source: RefSeq, a predicted model, not a curated record
CUGCAGUUUCGCCUGGAAGAGAAUAGAGGAGUGAAGAAGGCUGUUUCGUCAGAGUGCUGACAGAUAACAAGAGUGUAAAGUGCUCAACAUAGUGCCUAGAGCGUACUAAGCCCUCAAAUAGCUUUAUCGUUUAUUACCCUUUUUAUAUUACAACUUUAUGAAGUGAUAAGAUCUCAUUUUAAAAGGAGGAAAAUGAGAUUGAGGCGUUAAGAGACUUACUCAGUGUCACACGGCUGAUAGACGAUGGAGAUGGGAUUUGAACACAGGUUCCGAUUGUAACUGUCUCAGCUUGAGAGAUGAGGACGUGAGAACUGGUAACCACAAGCACAUUUUCUUUCAACUGGUCCAUGAGUGCAGUUUUAUUGAAGCACAGCCCUGCCCCUCCGUCUGUGUUGAGCACAGCUGCUGUCAUGUGAAAGAAGAUUGGAUCUUGGUUACCCAGAAUCAUCACACAAUCUGUUUCAGGAAGAAAGAUUCCAUAGCAUGAUAUGUGACUGAGGCAAGAAGGGCAUAGAAACCAUGCACAAUUGCUGACAUUAUAUCUACCUUUUGGAAUAAUUUCAUCUGGGUUACCUGUCAUCCGACCUGAAAAUCAAGUGACAAGAAAAGAGUAGUGACUAUAAAGUCCUCGAAAAC